Molecule: long non-coding RNA, 623 nt
Organism: Lathyrus oleraceus (garden pea)
Lineage: Eukaryota; Viridiplantae; Streptophyta; Magnoliopsida; Fabales; Fabaceae
Exons: 3
Source: RefSeq, a predicted model, not a curated record
UAGAAUAAAAACAAUAAUGGAUUGAAAUAGUAAAGGAAAAAAAGGGCUUAACCUCAUUACUCUCAGAAUCUCACAACACUCCAUUACUCUAUCGAUUCAUCUCUAAAUCAAUCUUAUUGAAUCACAAUCCCCUCAUCAUUAAUUUCUUAUCCUACAAACUAUAAUUUUAGAAAGAGGAAGAAGUUGCAGCAAUUGAGAAGUGAAGAUUCAGAGACUUACACUUUGGUGUCUCUGAUAUUUUUUUUGUUCUAUUCGCUUCUAGAUUCGUUGAACAUGCUGCUUCCUAGAGAAGCGGCUCAAAAAGAGGAAAAGGGCAAAGAGGCAGAGCAAGAGGAAGAAGGUUGGAGAAGAGAAAAGCUUGAAGCUUAAAGAUUCGCCGGAUUAACUCAGGUAACGAGCAGUGAUUGAGUAGGAGCUAGUGCUUGGAGUCUAGUGUAGUUCCUUAGUGGGUCAUGCUCUGGUAGAUGUAACAUCGGGAUGGGAUGUUUUAAAUGUUUAUUGUUGGUUGUGAACCAGUUUACAUGUAAUAUGCUACAUGUUUUGAAUGAUCUCUAUCCGCUGCGUAUUGUGCGAUGCUUUAUGUUUUGAAUUAAAUAAUGAGCAUGACUAAAUAUUAUGGUGAA